UCCCUUGCAAUUCUCCAAGGGAUUCUGUGAUAAAAUUGUAUACCGUCACAAUAGUUAAAAUAUUUCUCCAUCUAUCACGCAACCGAUGCAAACACCCAUGGCGCAUUUACCACGGACACAAACACGGUGUUGAUCGAUUUUGAUCCUUUCAAAAGUUUCUUUUACCACCAACGAGGACUUUGGGGAGUUAAUUUUGUUGGGGCAAGAGUUUCAGCAGAGCAAUUUUGUUUUUUUCUUCCACAGAUUCGUCGGAUGGUCUCCAACAGUAAUCACAAUUAUUAGGACCAUUUUACUCUCUCUUUCAAUCUCUCUCAUCAAGCACUGCAGUUUAAUUUCUUCUUAUUUCUCACGGAAUUAGAACUUUGCAGUCGGCAUAAAGUUUUCACCAUCGGAAUUUUGUAGAAAUUAAAAAUUCAAAUGCUGUAAGAACAGAGCCAGUACUGGUUGGUUCUGGUGGCCAUGUGUACCGGAAAUUGAAUGGUUUGGGGAUUCCGAAGUGCUCCAUCAAAAUAUUGGAAAUGGGGAUUCCCUUUCCUUAGAUGAGAAAUGGUUCACCGUUAAUGAUGAAGGGAAAUAAGUUGAAAAGCACAUUGCUUAUGCAAGCAGCAUCAAGCGAAGAAGGCCAAGGAAGGAAUCUGAAGAGGAAUUAUGCAAAUAGUUGGGUUCCAGUCGAAGAAUCAAACUCAGCUCCAUCUGAAGCAGAUGCAGAUGGGACGAAAGUCCAAUGAUGCAUGCCAUGAAUAACCCAAGCAGUGAUGUCCGUGAAGCAAGAAGGCUUUGGUUUCUGACACAUCAGUGAACCAACCUCGUUAGUGACCCAGAAAUUAAUGAUGAUCUGUAUGAAGGAAAAAGAAAAAAUGAAAACAAGCAUAACACUAGUUGAAUAUCUCCAAGGUAUGAUAAUGUCAAUUUCUAAAAUUCUUCUUGAGUAUUAUUACAUGAAUCUUAUUUUCUCCUAGGUGCUUUAUUGCUUACAUUAUUUAUGGCCCAAGAAUGCCUCGCGUUCAUCCAAACAUAAGAAUGUUGGAAAGUUCGAAAUGUGCCCAUUUACUAUUUGAAAGAAGAAACCAAUUUCUGAAGACAACCAAAGAUGGAGCAGCAAGAAAUCUGAUAAUUAUGCCAUUGCAUGCAUUGCAAGAUCAGUUUUAGAAAGUUUUAGCUGAUUCUUUGUUUUUUACCCUAACAUGCUGGAAGUACAUUACCUUUUCGGUUGGACGUAGAAGUUUUUCUCUUGAAUCAGUGAUUGUCGAUUCUAUAUCCACAAAAUUAACCUUUUCACUCAUUUGAUAAGGAUUCUGCCAA
Molecule: long non-coding RNA, 1302 nt
Organism: Andrographis paniculata
Lineage: Eukaryota; Viridiplantae; Streptophyta; Magnoliopsida; Lamiales; Acanthaceae
Exons: 5
Source: RefSeq, a predicted model, not a curated record